GACGAACGCUGGCGGCGUGCUUAACACAUGCAAGUCGAACGGAAAGGCCCUGCUUUUGUGGGGUGCUCGAGUGGCGCACGGGUGAGUAACACGUGAGUAACCUGCCCUUGACUUUGGGAUAACUUUUGGAAACUGGGGCUAAUACCGGAUAGGAGCUCCUGCUGCACGGGGGGGGUUGGAAAGUUUCGGCGGUUGGGGAUGGACUCGCGGCUUAUCAGCUUGUUGGUGGGGUAGUGGCUUACCAAGGCUUUCAAGGGUAGCCGGCCUGAGAGGGUGACCGGCCACAUUGGGACUGAGAUACGGCCCAGACUCCUACGGGAGGCAGCAGUGGGGAAUAUUGCACAAUGGGCGGAAGCCUGAUGCAGCAACGCCGCGUGCGGGAUGACGGCCUUCUGGUUGUAAACCGCUUUCGCCUGUGACGAAGCGUGAUUGACGGUAAUGGGUAAAGAAGCACCGGCUAACUACGUG
Molecule: ribosomal RNA, 468 nt
Filed under: uncultured bacterium
Lineage: Bacteria
Description: partial 16S ribosomal RNA
Rfam family: Bacterial small subunit ribosomal RNA
Source: RNAcentral